ACGGCCUGAGACUUGAUUUGGGUUGAUUAAGGAGUCCUAAACCUAAUCUAAGUCAUGUUUAAGCCUAUAAAAGGCCAGGAUCAGUGAAUUGUGUGGUGUGUGGUUUUCUAGUUUUGCCGCAAACCGUUGUACGGAGCCGUACGGAACGAACCCGAGAGGAGAGAGAGGUAGAAGCACUGAGAGAGAAGGAGCAGGAGGCUCCUGGACAGUGGACGCCAAGCA
This 222-nucleotide long non-coding RNA is filed under the name Elaeis guineensis (African oil palm). RNAcentral's name for it is "long non-coding RNA (EGUI_LNC036287)". Lineage: Eukaryota; Viridiplantae; Streptophyta; Magnoliopsida; Arecales; Arecaceae. The record is from RNAcentral.